Long non-coding RNA from Leptinotarsa decemlineata (Colorado potato beetle), 631 nucleotides. The record is from RefSeq and is a predicted model, not a curated record. Lineage: Eukaryota; Metazoa; Arthropoda; Insecta; Coleoptera; Chrysomelidae.
AUAAGAACCGGUAAUUACUGACAUCCAUUUUUCUGGAAUACUAUCUCUUACAGUAAUUAUUGUAUGGUACAAUUUGUUUUGAUGUUUUAUUAGAUGGCAGCCUCAUAACCGGGGAGUGAUUAUGAAUUUCACUCGAGAAUCAUCCAAGCUGAAUAAGAGUUUUUCUCAUAUUUUAUCUCUAUUUGCCUUUGACAAUGCGAUAGCUUUUUUAUAUACACAUUUAUAAUGUUGUAAACAGAAGCUCAUUUUAUGACCAGCUUUCUAGUUGAAUAAAACGCUUAGUGAGGUGGAUUUCCAAAAAUUCGAGUUCAGUCGUGGAGAGGAAACCAAUUAACAACAACACAAUUUUUCAACACACCGAGUGACGGAGGAUUAUCACCCCCAAUUUCGAUAAAGAUGUAACUGAAAUUCCUGACAAUGCUUCAGAAGGCUACAUAUCAUUAUUACUAUAUGAUGUCACUGAGCGACUUUUGGUCCAUUUGGCAAUGAUACUACUGCUACUGAACGCAAUGUUUGACGUUGGUUACAAAAUUUCGUUCUGGAGACUUUAGCUUCGAUGUUGAGUCCUGAAGUGGUGCACUUACAGUAAUCCAGGACGAGGAUUUCAUUGCCCUGCCGCAGUUGCAGUUGA